AUUCUACUGACUCCAAGUUCACGCAGCUGUUCAUCCCCUGCUUAAUGUACUGGUAAUUACAGCAAUGUGCUCUUCUCUUUCCAAUCAUGUAACUUUUACUAAUGGAAAAUGAUUUGUUUUUAACAACUUCCAUGCAUUUCUUUCUCGUUUUAAUAAGAAAGGGUGUCUUGUGGCAUUGAGCUAUUGAAUUCUCUAUAAAAAACAAAAGUCUCUAUAUGAGUUUCCAGCUCCAUAGGAGGGCUCUGUGGGAUUGGCCAAAGGUGGUGGGGAGACUUAAGUGAGUGUAACUAACUUGAUAUGAAUAGGUCAGUUGGGAAACAAAGCAAGCUCAUCGCCUUCUGAUCAUGGAGGUGGUGAAAUAACAUUUUUUAAAAAUGUGAAACCGGGAAGGAUCAGAAGUAUGAAUUGAGUUCUGCUUUCAUGAUCCAAACUCUAUGUACUCUCAGAGAAUUUUUAAAACAAAUAUCUGAAGAGGUUUUCACUUAUUUUCAUUCAAUGUUUCAGAGCAUGUAAAUGUUCUCCUUUGAUGAGAAAUGUUGAUGAUUUGGGUUGGGUGGGGGUUGAAAUGAUUAUAGCAAGUGCGUCUUUUGCUGUAGCCAUGCUAAGCUACCAGGCACAGAUCAAACAGGCAUGUGGUCACAUGAUCGUUUUAUUUGCAGAUAAAAUACAGACACCUUGGAAUUUCCUUCCUUAUAUCCCCUAAAUGGCACUGGAAAUCACUCUAAAAGGAUAAUUUUUAAAGCAAAACUUUUCCAACUCAUUAGAGGAUUUCAGUUUUAGACUUUUAUUUUAAAUAAGUGGUUGAGUAGCAGUUGUAACAAAGAAUGCCAAGUCACACCCUUGUGUGUGGAUGGAAAUACUGCUACACAACACACAUAGCUAAUUUUAUCAGAAGGAUGAUAGCAAAAGGAAUGUCUUCUCUACAUGAAAACUCAAAAGUCAAGAGCAUUGACGAGAUGACAAACCAUGAUUGCGAAGCCUAUUUGCCACAUCUUGACAUUUUAAAGAUUCAUAUAAUUCAAGAUUUAGCUAAAAUUGUAAAAUACAUAUCCUGAGCUCAAAAUUCUUUGAUGUUAACAUGUAUCCAUAUCUUUUAAAGACAUUAAUUUUAUUCCUUGUGCAUUUCUUUUCUUCUAUUCGUGGUUAAUAAUGACAUGGCAGCCGGAAAUCACCUAUCUUCUCCUCAGCCCUUCUUAUCUAGCUCCCUCCAGAAGUCUUGUUUUUUCUUAGAGAUUUCUUUGGAAAUGUUAUUAAGCUAGAGUGAAGUAAUUUUUAAAAACACACAUUGAAACUUAGAACUGAAUAAUUUUUAAAUAUUUGUAAUAACUUUAGCAAAACCAUUGCUUUCCUCAAGAACCACAAGACCACACCAGCAGCAAAGAGGCACUAUUGUUCCCCUGGAGUCUUGAGAAGCUCCUCGUGUGACAAACUCCAGCAAAGGGGGUCUGUGCUUCGCUCCUCCAUAAAUGCAACACCAAGUCUAGAUCUGAUUUUGCCCUCUAGGAAUUCUUGUGCCUUGCUUUAUGCAAAGCAAAAAUUAUGUUUAAUAUUUUAAAACUAGCUUCAGGAAUUAGGAUCUUCAGAGUUAGUGGUCUGACUCUAGUCAUGUGCAUGUCUUACAUCAUCUUCUAUUUUUUCAGAUGGUUGCAUCAGUAGCUUUGGGAAUAUUUUAUUUUUAAAGUUUUAAGUCAUUCUGAUAUCCACGAGACCAUCAAAAAUAUAACUAUGAUCUAAUGAAUGCCCAAAUAAGUGGUUGCAUAAAUAACAACUACUUAUCAUGUUCACUUUCCCCGUUAUUCAUUUAUUCAUUCAGUAUUAAUUGAACAACUCGUAUGUGCCAGGCAUAUUCCAGGGACCAAGGAUUCAGUAGUGAAUACAAAAUCGUAGCUUUAUAAAGGUAGUAGUUCAGUAAGAGGAGAUAAACAAAUAAAAUAUAUAAGUAAAAAAAAGUUAAAUAGCAAUGAGCUCUAAGGAUAAAAAGCACUGUAAAGGGACAGAAUAUGAUGACAGAGUUUCAAUUUUACAUGGAGUAAAAGAGAAGACCUCAAUAUGUGACUUUUGAGCACACAAGGGAAGGAAGUAAGAUAAAAGCUUUGUAGAUAUUUGAGGGAAAAACUGUCCAAGCAAAGAGUACAGCAAGAGCAAAGGUCCUAGGGAUCGUGAAUGUAGAGUGUUCAAGAGUACCAAGGAGGUCAGUGUGCCCGGAGUACAGAUAGUAGGAGAUAAGUUUAGAGAAGUGAAGGAAGCCAGAUCUUACAAAGCCAUAGUUUAUUAUAAGGACUUUGGCUUUUACUUUGAGAUGGGGGAGGCUGCUAGGGAUUUUUGAACAGAAAAAUGACAGAAUCUUGUAUAACUUUUAACAAAAUAAUCCUGGCUGUUAUGUUGAGAGUUGAUUUAAGGGCGGCAAGGGAAGAAGCAGGGAGACAGUUUAGAAGGCUAUUAUAAUAAGCCAGGCAACGGGACAAAGGGUAAAGGUGGAGAGAGUAGAUAUAAAUGGACUUCCUAUUAUAUAGCAGGCACUAUGUUAGGCUUUGUUGAUACAUCAGGGGGAAAACAGAGGCUCUGUUCCCAGGGCCUUUGCAUUCUACUGAGAGGAGCCAGGCAAUCAACAAAUAAGCCAGUGCAUACAUAAAAUAUCAGGUGAUGAUAAGUUAUAUGGAGAGAAACCCUAACCUGUUCCAAAGUUCAUUAUGGCAAACACCUAGAAACAAACACAGUCCUAUAUAGUGGGGGCUGGAGAAGAAAAGUGUGGCAUAUUCAAAGAGAGACUAUUACGUAGCAAUGAAAAUGAAUGACUUUAACUACAUGCAACAUUGCAGAUGGAUCAUAGCAAUAUAAUAGGAAUACAAAAUAAGUUAUUAUAUAUUUAAAACAUUACAUUUUUCAUAAAGCCAAACACACGCAACCCAAACUAAUACUUUUAAAGAAAUACAAAUAGAUGUGUGAACAUAUAUCAAAUGAAGUCAGGAACAUUGUUAAUACAAGAUUUGGGGUAGUAGUUGUCUUGAAUGAGGAGUGGCAAAGAAAUUCUUGGGAUACUCACAUGGGUUUCUGUGAGUGUUCUAGCUUCAUGUUGGGUGUUGGGUUAUUGGAUUUAAUUAUAUUAUUUGCAGGGAAGGAAGAAUGGAAGGAAGGAAGGAAGGGAGGGAGGGAGGAAAGAAGGAAGGAAGGAAGGGAGGGAGGAAAGAAGGAAGGAAGGGAGGGAGGAGGGAGUGAGGAAGGGAGAGAGGGAGGGAGGAAAGAAGGAAAAAAGGAAGGAAGGGAGGGUGGGAAUUUUACAGGGUUAACCACUAUGGAUAAUAAUUCAUCUAAUUGUGUUUCCCUGUGGUGUAGGGUUGGGAAAAGUUAUGGAGUAUUUGCUUUUAUAUAUAUAAAUUUGCCAGGGAAAUCCUGUCUAAGGAAAUGACAUUUGAGCAGAAGCAUGAAUGGAUUGGAGAAGUGGUUGGAGGAACAAGGAGAAACUCCUGGCUGGAGUGGAGUGAGCAAAAAGAAAGCAGCAGGAGGUGAAGUCAGGGAGAGCAGGAACAGGUCAUCUUGACCUUUAUAAGCUGUGAGGAACUCUGACUUAUACUCCAGUGGACACUAAAAACAACUGAGAGGUUCUGACCAGAGGAGUAACAUUAUCUGCUGUAAAUGUUAAAAGGAUUGUUCCUGCUGCAGUGUGGGAAUACACCAGGGUUUCUCUGCACAACUGACAUUUUGGACUGGAUGAUUCCUUGUUGUAACAGAGAUUCCUCUGCAUUGUAGGAUGUUUACCAGCACCCCUGGCUUCUCCCUAAUAAAGCUAUAAUGUCACCCCCUACCCCCUAGUUAUGACAACAAAAACUGUCUCCAGACAUUGCCAAAUGGGGGGCAAAGUCAUUCUGCUUGAGCACCACUGGAAUGUGCUAAAGGUGGCAAAAGACAGAAUCAGGGAGAGGGGGUAGGAGGAUGUUGCUGCAUCCACCAGAAACAAUGGCUGGGACUAGGGCAGAAAGGCUCUCUUUUCUAAACACACGUAUUCAUAGCUUGGGUCUGUAGCCCCAUGGCUGGAAUCUCUACAAUUUGAGGAUAUUCAGAAAUUCCCAACGAUGAGUUGUUAAAUAUUCAUUUACACUCAUAUAUUUCCCAAGUGCUAUAGAAAUGGGGUACAUUUGAGCAUGAAAUAAUCCAUAUGGUUAUUCCUUAAGGACUAGAUCCAAAUUGUCCACUUCUUUACCUCUUGGCUUUGUCCAAGCUGACAACUGAUUCUUUGAUUUGCAUCCAGGUGAGUUCCUUGAAGCCCUGAACCGAGGACUUCUUGUGUACUUUAACAUUUGUUAUAUCUGAAGAUAUUCUGAUUGGCAACAUUUUUAACAUAGAGAACUGUUUAAAGAAAAUACCGCCAGCACACAACUCAUCCACAAAUUGCUGUUUUUGAAAAAGAUGGAGAGGCUGUGACUGAGAUCAUCAGAGAACCAGCCCGGCACCCCAAACAUAAUAGGGCAAAGGAGUCAGAUGAGAAUUUUGUUCAGUAUGAGACACUGGACAACAAGACAGGACCCUUGACCUCAGAAAUGCAGGAAUUCAGGAAUAUUAUAGAACAUGAAGUAGCAGAGCCGUGGAGGAGAAUUUAUAGCACUAAUCUUGAGCACUUUCCCCCGAGGACUCUGCGCUGUUUUCACAAAGGCCUCUCGGAAUGCCAGGCUGUGAAAGGUAGAAAUGUAAACACGGGGACAGGAGUGUCCUUCAGUCUAAAGAGUGAGCCACGCAGGUUUCUAGUUGCCAGCAUUCCAGUAGUGGUACUGGGAAAUGGUUUUAUAGGAUAAACAAAUCACCCAAAUGCAGAAAAUGCAAUUCCACUGAAGCAAAUCCAACUUCCUUUCCUGACGGAGAAUGUAAUUAAAUCCUGCUUCAGGAGGACGGUUUAUAUCCUCUGCUGCUGGGGGUCUCGGCUCAUGCUCAUCGCUGGUGUUUACAAGAUGACAUUACCUGCCUCCUGUGACAUGCUGAGGCAGCCCUGACUUUGAAGAUGGGGCGGUGGUGCAUGUGAGGGAAGGGGGAUGAGUGAGGCUGUGUUUCAUUUGCAGAGCUUGGCUGUUCAUCUCUCACAUUCACAUCUGACACCAGAAGCCCACACCAUGCUUGGCUUUUCCAAAACAGUGAUUCUAAUGUAACACCCUAAUAAGCUGUGUUAACUCACCUUUCAGAAGGAGGCUGGGGGGACAUACAUCACAACAAGUUGAGAGGAAGGGGUGAUUGUAACAAUAUUAAAUAUAAUUAUCACCAGCAGAAGUUCUAUGAGAUGAAGUGAAUGAAUCACAGCUCAUGAUGUCUUCAAAAUACAAUUAAAAGUGCAAUUUUACUUUAUUUAUUUAGUUAUUCCUUGUAUUUUAAAAGUUGAGUCACUGGCAGUAAUCUCAUCAUGUCCUAAAUUAAAAAAAUCUAAGAGGUUCAUGAAUUUGCUACUCAUUUUUGGUCCUGCAGUCACUUUGUAACACACAAUCUCUAUUUGGAACAUAGAAUGUCCUGUCCAAGAUAUUAAUCAAAACUCAAGCUUGUUGUGAUAUCAACUAUCACAUCUUCUCCCUUCUCAGUUUGGAUCUGCUUCUCCCUGGAAAUAGACAAAGGGAAAGGGCUGUGGGAGUAGAGCUUGAGAGGCACCUGAUUUCCUUUCUAUCUUUUACACUGUGAUCCUUAUCCUCCCUCUAACAGCAGCUCACCAGACAGUGUCUGUCAUUCAGAUCCUGGCAGCGGGGAGACAGAGGAAAAGCCUUAUUUGAACUGGACCUUCCUUAUCAGGCUUCUCAUUUUCAGGGUUCAACAGAUGGCUAAGGUUGAUGUUUCUGCUCGAGAGUCAUCUUCAUGGAUUUGCAGAAGACCCCACUCCUGAAAUCCCUUUCACCUGGGCCGAUGCAUCUAAUUAUGAUGGUAGAUUGAAAGCUUUUCAGCUCCCAGGGACACAGCAUUCAUUUCCAUCUUCUCCUGUGGGGAUCCCUGGCCCAUCUAGUUGGAUUUCUUAGAAGGACUUAAGGGCUCUACAUUGGUUCUCUCUCCCACAUAAAACAAGGAAGGGAGCAUAUUUGCUCCUUUAUUCCAGCACUCUGAAGUGCAGGCAGGCCCUCCCCAAGGCAGUGACCCCUACCCCUCUACCUGAAGCCACUAUGCCUUUGGCAGUCAUGAGUCAAGCUGAGCCCAUAUUUCCCACACAUUCCAUGGCCCUCUGAAUCAUUACGUAGUCACUCCUCACUAGACUUGGGAUGGAAUGGGGUACCACUACCUGUGGAAGAAGAAUGACACCAUGGCCAGUAACAGCUCUCUCCCAAGGCAUCUCUCCACUGUGCUCUCUUUCCCUCUCCUCUGUAAAUACUUUUAUAGCCUUGAAAAAAAGGAGGAGACAUAAGAAUUAUGCAAUAGUUUUUUUUUAACCUUUGUAAAAUCUGUUUAUAGUAAACUCUCUCAUACACAUCUUGUUAUCUGAUGUUAAUUAUUGGAACCUCAUUCAAAGCUAUGUUAGAAAGAGCCCCAUUUAAGCUUCUCUUAAAUUUAUAAAAGAAAAUUGUUCAUAAAUUAAAUUAUAAGGAAAAGAAAGUUGAUUUUCUAUAUUCUUCCAUGUUUGAUCUUUCCACAUGGUCAUGGAAACCACCUCACGCCUCUUAAUUUUUUAGUUCUUUUGACAGAAAACACAGAAACUAUGGUUCCCAACACCAUAGGGCAGUACUACCACAGUCUCCACCACCUCAAGCAAUAGACUUUCCAACCUCUUCUCUCCAUUAAACUUCUCUAUUACCAGACUCUUACUAAAUUAUCUUACUAAAGAUAGUUUUUGAAUGUCUCUCUUGUGCUAAGAAUUGUAGAGUUCUGGUGGCAGAAGAUGACAGAGAGUUUUUUUUCUUUUUGUCCUAGAAGAAUUUAUAGUUUAUUCUAGUUCUUUCCAUUGGAAUCUGAAACAAUAUACAAAAACAGUGCAAUAGUUUUUUUCAAUACAUUUUGAUCAAUGUGGAAAUACAUUUUUGUAACAGUUGAGGAUUCAUACUGUAUAUUAUAACGUUGGUCAGAAUAACUGAGUCUGAUGAUUGAGUUGGGAGACGCAUGGUGGGGCACGGAAGAAUGUGCCCCUUUAGGUCAGAGGUAAGCUGGUGCCACCAAAAGGAACUUUGUUUAUCACAAUCCACUAGAACUUUUAAUUUCUUUGUGUUUGUAUUUUCUUUCAUAGGACAAGGUCAGGGAAAUAAGCAUUUCUACUCAAACUCCCAAAUAGUACUGAAAGAAUACCAAAUGAAUAGGACUAUAAUGGUAUAUUUUAAACAUUUUUUUCAAAAGAAUUGGCAUUUACCUUUUAACUCCUUCAAUGUCACCCUAAGCUCUAGUGCUAGUAACUCAGAAAAUUUAACAACCACUGAUCCAUUCACUAUUAAAGAAAAUGUUAUAAACUCAUUUGGACUGAGGUGUUAAUUGUUAUUUUUAAGGUUAAUGGUUAUUAGUUGUUCUUGAUCUUCUAGGAUAACAUUUGCAUUUUAGGCUUUAAAAAAAAUCCCAAAUGUCCUUAAACCUGAAGGACUUGGUUAGAUAAAUAUUUUGGGGAAUGAUGGCAAAGCCUGCUGUGGCAAUUUUUUGAUAGGGUGAAUACCAGUACUGGCUGAUCCUCCCACUCAAGAAACACACUUAAAUCCAGUGUUGGCUUUGGGAAUGCUGAGAAAACAUUGGCUUUGGGAAUAGAGAAAGAAAACAUCAGUAGAAAAAUGAAAAACAGAAGUGAUUUGAAGGACAGCUUUAGGCUUCACCAUAUUCUGUACCCAUUAAAUAACUCCCCAUUUUUCCCUACUCCCAGUCCCUGACAACCACCAUUUUAAUUUCUAUUUUUAUGAAUUUGACUAAUCUAGAUAACUUCAUGUAAUUAAAAUCAUACAACUUUUACCUUUUUGUGAUUGUCUUAUUUUAUUUAGCAUAAUGUCAUUAAGAUAUAUCCAUGUUUAACCCAUGCCAGAAUUUUCUUCCUUUUUAAGGCUGAAUAGUAUUUCGUUAUGUGUAUACACCACAUUUUGUUUAUUCAUUCAGCUAUGGAUAGAAACUUGGGUUGCUUUUAUUUUUCGCUAUUGUAGACAGUGCUGCCGUGAGCAUGGGUAUGCAAAUAUCUCUUCAGGAUCCUGCUUUCAAUUCUUCUGGAUAAAUAUAAAGAAGUGAGAUUGCUGGAUCACAUGACAAUUCUACUUUUUAUUUUUUGAGGAACUUCCAUACUGUUUUUCACAGUGUCUGCACAAUUUUACAUUCCCACCAACAGUGUACAAAGGUGUCAAUUUCUCUGCAUCCUCACCAGCACUGGUUAUUUUCUGGGUUUUUUUUUUUUUCUUUUUGAUAGUUGCCAUUUUCAUGGGUGGGAGUGAUAUCUCAUUGUGGUUUAGAUUUGCAUUUCUCUAAUGAUUAAUGAUGUUGAGUAUCUUUUCAUAUGUUUGUUGAUCAUUUGCAUAUCCUCUUUGGAGAAAUGUUUAUUCUUUUGCCCAUUUUAAAAUCAAGUUUCAAUGCUUCCUGCUAUUUAUUUUAAAUGUGCUUUACAAGUUAGAACUUGUGAAUUUUGACCAGCAUGAUGUAAUGCCACUCAGCAUGGCUUUUCAGGCUGGUGUCGGGCUGGUAGAAGGAUGAGUUAGAAUGAGCAAGGCCAAAACUCAGAGUUCAGACAGGGGCAGGGGAAGAUAGAUAGUCCAGAGAGAAUCAUUCCUUUCUUCCUUCAUGCAAACACACGUGCAAAUAGCAAGGAUUUGUUCCAUGCUGCCAUGUGCUAGGCACUGAGCUAGAGAUAUGAAAAGGGACACAAAGUGGGACAGGAUACCUUUGGGGUUUGGAAGGUAGAAUCUGCACUUAGACUGCUUGGGUGUGAAUUUUAGCUGCAGUAUCUGCAGCGUGUGGACAUAUUUUGACUGGGUUACAUCAUAAAGAGCUUUUAUCUCAUGCUAAGGGCUUACUUGUAAAGCUGUAAGACUGGGACCCAUUGAAGGGUUUUAGGUAUUACAAGCUUCAAAGAAAAACAAAUGAAAUAAUCUAAACUUUUAAGGAAACUAUCAUAGAAAGACAGAUUUAGAAAACAGAAAGGGGAAUAAAAUCCCCCUAAAAGCAAGGGCUGUAAUGGACACAAUUAAAUGCUAGGGUCUUGGUUCUAUAGUUCUAUAGUUGACUAGUUAUAUGACCUGACAAAGUCAUUUUAACUCUCUGGCCCAAGGUUUUCUUAUAUAUAAAACAGGGAUAAUGCCUUACAAAACUUAAAAAAAAUAAUUAACUAAGAAGAUGUACUCAAAAGUGUAUUGCAAGGGUUUCUUUUUUAAUUUUUCUUUCUUUUUUUUUUUUUUUUUUUUUUGGCACACAGGAGCAGUAUGCUGUGUUUUAAAGGACAUUUUAAAAAUUGGCUUGGUUUCCUCUACUCACACCAUUUUAGCCCCCGCAUUUGGGGCUAUUUCACCCUCAUUUGCAAGCUUAGACCCGAGCCAGGGUCUGAGAUUCAUCAGGCUCCAACCCAUGCCAGUUUAGUUUUUUUCUGAUGUUUUUCUUUUUUUUCCCCCCAGAAAUUUGGCUAUUAUACUUUAAAAAAAAAAAAAAAUCUUGCUUAGACUGUUUGCUCCCCUAUUUUCUUCUUCCCUUUCCCCUCAGCAUCAUGUAUUGGAAAAAAGGUGAAAGUCUGGAUUAAUGAAUCCAAAAAUUAAUGUUACCUUGUAUUUUUACCUGUAUUGUUACUUGUAUUUUUCUAAGGCACCAUAAUCACACUACAAAGAGGUGAAGACACACAACACUACAGUGAAGGAUAGAAUGCUAGUUCCAGUUUGAUUUUCAUUAUUUUUCAAGAUUUUCUUUGGCGCUGAGUAUUCUGUUGAAAAUUUUUUUACACUGAAAUAUCAGGAGAUAGAGUUUUAGGAGAAUACACAACCAGGUGUAUGCCCUGGACAGUCUAUCUCAGAAACACAAAUGUUUUGUUCUUUCCAGAAGGGAAAGAAGAGAGCAGCAACUGGCCACCUGGCACUCCUGCAACUCCUCUCUGAUCAGGAAGGAAACUGCCUGGGCUCCUGUGGAAAAUUAGCUUAUUCUCAUGGCUUUGGAAUAUGUUUCUCCAUUCAUUAAGAAUAUCUUUCUAUCAGAAUGGGCUAGGGGAGAAGCAAGAGAGAAAUUUACUUUUUGAUCUAGAGAUCAAAAACUGAAAAGCCUUUGUUUGUUUGUUUGUUUUUAUAAGAAAGAAUAGCAGAACAGAAUUAGAAUGUAGAUUUGAAGAAACAUAAGGAAAAAUAAAUCCAUGAUUAUGUGAAUUGAUUAAUGUAUUGUGUGUUUCUUUGACUAUUUUAAUUAUUAAUAUAUAAAUAUAAAUCAGGCUGCGGAAGACUAGGAGGAAGAUUAUGUGCUUCCUGAUCAAAUUAUAGCCCCAGCACAUGGCACAGUGGCUAUAGUAGAUAUUCAAUAAACACUUGUUAAAUGAAAGAAGGUAAGGAGAAGGAAGAAAGGAAUGAAAUACAUAGGGAAGGCGAAAAGGAGGGAGUGAUCAAAGAAGGCAAGAAGGAACAUAUACAACUGACGUGUGAUUUCUCUGUUGAAACUGACAAGGGUACAAUUGCAUUAUUUACCUUGUUCAAUAAAAUAAAUCUGAAGAUUUUCACAAACAAUGUUGUGGAGUGAGCAUUCCAUAUUCUUAUCUAUAAUAAACAACAGGGAUGAAGUGAACAUUUGAGGGAGAACCUUGGUAAUGAAUUAUUAGAUAAAUUAUUUCAUGCAGUUUCCAUUCACUUUUCAAAAACAAAGAGAUUGGAUUAGAAUCAUCCAUUCACAUUGACAUUCAUCAAUAAAGUUAUAGAUGACUCAGCAAUUAUCUAACCCAAAGCCUUAAUUGAAGAUGCAGCUGUCUGGAAAUAUUCUCCCCCGCUACUUCCAAAAUACCUCCUUUAAAUUUGAAUUGUGGAAUGUUUCUUUAUUGGAAAAAUAAGAGCUAACAUUUAUUCAGUGUUGACAAUGUGGUGUGAACACCUAUUCUAAUCACAUAGACACACACACAUAAAAUCCUUUAAUUUUCACUAGAACUCAAGAUAUGAUAGAUAUUAUCAUAGAGCCCAGUUUUACAGAUGAAGAAACUGAAGAAUGGAGAGGUUAAGUAACCUGCUUAGUAGAAGCAGAAUUCAAGUUCAGACCAACUGACUCCAGAGGCUGUGCUUAUAUCUACUGUGUCUCAUUGUACUUUCUGCUUAUAUUUUAAGUCUUUAUGUGCAUGGUUUGUUUUUGCUUCUAGUACAGUGGUUCUCAACUAGGGGAUUGUUAGCAAAUCUGGAGAUAUUUUUGAGGUGCAAGAAAUGUGGUGGAACAUUCUAGAAUGCACAGGACAGUGUACCACAACAAAGAAUUAUCUAGCCAGAGGUUGAGAAACCUUGUUGCAGAGUAUUAGACACUAAAGGACAAGAAUUAUGCCUUACUUACAUUUGUAUAGCAUUUGGAACAGAGUUGGCUGAAAAUUAAUAUUUGUCCAUGAAAAACUUAAGUUACCUAGUCUGUUAAAAGGAAGGAGUUUUACAUAAUAAUCAAUAAGGUACUACUGAACUCUAACUCAGCAAAUUAAUGUCUGUGUCCUGGAAACAUACAGUUUACCUAUUGAGGCCAAGGUACUGGUUUUUCCUGCCUCUUAACUGUAUGAUGCUAUGUUAUGAAAUUAUAUAGAUUAAAAGCAAAAGAGUAUAGGUGAGUAUCAUUAGAAAAAAAGGUAAGUAAGCAUACAAAAUAUAGUUUUUAUUUAAUGAAUAUGAGAAACAGAUGGAAAAGUGAUAUUACUCACCUUAAGAAUUUACCAGCUGCAAGGAAAGUAUAAUUUAUACAAAAUUUUGGAAUGAAUGAGUUUUAUACCUAACAUCAUUAGGC
Molecule: long non-coding RNA, 11832 nt
Filed under: Homo sapiens (human)
Lineage: Eukaryota; Metazoa; Chordata; Mammalia; Primates; Hominidae
Description: non-protein coding lnc-IRS1-2:7
Source: RNAcentral